UUAAAUUGAAGAGUUUGAUCAUGGCUCAGAUUGAACGCUGGCGGCAGGCUUAACACAUGCAAGUCGAACGGUAACAUGAGUGCUUGCACUUGAUGACGAGUGGCGGACGGGUGAGUAAAGUAUGGGGAUCUGCCGAAUGGAGGGGGACAACAGUUGGAAACGACUGCUAAUACCGCAUAAAGUUGAGAGACCAAAGCAUGGGACCUUCGGGCCAUGCGCCAUUUGAUGAACCCAUAUGGGAUUAGCUAGUAGGUGGGGUAAGGGCUCACCUAGGCGACGAUCUCUAGCUGGUCUGAGAGGAUGGCCAGCCACACUGGAACUGAGACACGGUCCAGACUCCUACGGGAGGCAGCAGUGGGGAAUAUUGCACAAUGGGGGGAACCCUGAU
Molecule: ribosomal RNA, 388 nt
Filed under: Gilliamella sp. WF3-4
Lineage: Bacteria; Pseudomonadati; Pseudomonadota; Gammaproteobacteria; Orbales; Orbaceae
Description: bacterial SSU rRNA
Rfam family: Bacterial small subunit ribosomal RNA
Source: RNAcentral